UUGGAUGUUCUGGGUCUCACUGAC
This 24-nucleotide microRNA is filed under the name Eptesicus fuscus (big brown bat). RNAcentral's name for it is "efu-miR-9232". Lineage: Eukaryota; Metazoa; Chordata; Mammalia; Chiroptera; Vespertilionidae. The record is from miRBase by way of RNAcentral.